GGUAUUACCAUUGAUGGUUUUCAUCUCCUCCUCUAAAAUGUAUUUUCUUCCAUGGUUGUUAUCUCCUCCUCCAAAAGAUGUACUUUUUCCAAGAUUUUAUUUGAGGCAUCAAGAUUAUGAAAAAUCAAACACAGUCAAAUAAAUUCCUUUGUAAUAUUUUCUCAUA
Molecule: long non-coding RNA, 166 nt
Organism: Raphanus sativus (radish)
Lineage: Eukaryota; Viridiplantae; Streptophyta; Magnoliopsida; Brassicales; Brassicaceae
Exons: 3
Source: RefSeq, a predicted model, not a curated record